RNAcentral lists this ribosomal RNA (228 nucleotides) under uncultured bacterium. RNAcentral describes it as "partial 16S ribosomal RNA". It matches the Rfam family "Bacterial small subunit ribosomal RNA", at positions 29 to 260 of the family's 1533-position model. The record is from RNAcentral.
AAUGAACGCUGGCGGCGUGCUUUACACAUGCAAGUUGAGCGAAGUCGUGUAGCAAUACAUAGUCGAGCGGCGAACGGGUGAGUAACGCGUGGAUAACCUGCCCCAAGGUGGGGAACAACCAGGGGGAAACUCUGGCUAAUACCGCAUAACACCGAGAGGUCAAAGGGGGCCGCAAGGCUCUCGCCAUUGGGAGGGGUCCGACGUUCGAUUAGCUAGUUGGUAGGGUAA